RNAcentral lists this transfer RNA (92 nucleotides) under Cytobacillus kochii. RNAcentral describes it as "tRNA-Leu". It matches the Rfam family "transfer-messenger RNA", at positions 283 to 374 of the family's 374-position model. Rfam says of the family: Bacterial tmRNA, also known as 10Sa RNA or SsrA, is named for its dual tRNA and mRNA-like properties. Its role is to liberate the mRNA from a stalled ribosome. To accomplish this part of the tmRNA is used as a reading frame that ends in a translation stop signal. Lineage: Bacteria; Bacillati; Bacillota; Bacilli; Caryophanales; Bacillaceae. The record is from RNAcentral.
GGAGCAGCGAAACACGAAUAUAUCGACUACACUCGUAGAAGCUUAAGUGCCAAUAUCUUUGGACGAGGGUUCGACUCCCUCCGUCUCCACCA